ACGGGAGGCAGCAGUAGGGAAUCUUCCACAAUGGGCGAAAGCCUGAUGGAGCAACGCCGCGUGAGUGAAGAAGGUCUUCGGAUCGUAAAGCUCUGUUGUUAGAGAAGAACACUGAUGAGAGUAACUGUUCAUCAGUUGACGGUAUCUAACCAGCAAGUCACGGCUAACUACGUGCCAGCAGCCGCGGUAAUACGUAGGUGGCAAGCGUUAUCCGGAUUUAUUGGGCGUAAAGGGAACGCAGGCGGUUUUUUAAGUCUGAUGUGAAAGCCUUCGGCUUAACCGGAGAAUAGCAUUGGAAACUGGAAGACUUGAGUGCAGAAGAGGAGAGUGGAAUUCCAUGUGUAGCGGUGAAAUGCGUAGAUAUAUGGAGGAACACCAGUGGCGAAAGCGGCUCUCUGGUCUGUAACUGACGCUGAGGUUCGAAAGCGUGGGUAGCAAACAGGAUUAGAUACCCUGGUA
RNAcentral lists this ribosomal RNA (459 nucleotides) under uncultured Lactobacillus sp. RNAcentral's name for it is "bacterial SSU rRNA". It matches the Rfam family "Bacterial small subunit ribosomal RNA", at positions 341 to 792 of the family's 1533-position model. The record is from RNAcentral. Lineage: Bacteria; Bacillati; Bacillota; Bacilli; Lactobacillales; Lactobacillaceae.